This 741-nucleotide long non-coding RNA is filed under the name Marmota monax (woodchuck). The record is from RNAcentral. Lineage: Eukaryota; Metazoa; Chordata; Mammalia; Rodentia; Sciuridae.
GUCUGUUCCUGCUUCAGUGGCUCCUGAUUUGUGCCCAGCCAGACUGCGGCAGCAGUGAGGUCCAGAGAUGGCCUGGUGGGUUACGGUUCCUCCUGUCUCAUCUGAACGUGGCUCGAGCAGGUGGUCACUUGUGACUGGUUGAGUCUCAGGUACUUGUUACAGGAGGCUGCACUCUGUCCCCACACCAGGCCAGGUCAGAGUUCACCAGGUACAGAGGAAACCUUAGGCCAAACUUAAAUGCGUAUGGAGGCCGCCUGAGGCCAAUCUGAAGCCAUUUAGCAUAGUUACCCUGGAGUGAUGGAGAAGGUUGAGAAGUCAGUUCCACAGGGGAGCUGGGAAUGGCCAGGGAUUAGCUCACCAAUGGGGAAAACCAAAUGAAACCUUCAGCCUCAAUCUCAACAGCAUGCCCCUCGCCCAGUGGGCAGGUUCCCAUCAGCCUCAUUCUGUCGCUGCUCCUGGGGGACUGCCACAUCUCUGCCCAGAGUGCCCACCUUGUUCCAAAACCCUCCCACAGAAGGAGCAUCACGACUGCUGGCUGGGAGUUCACGCCCAACCCUCAUCGCACCCUGUGAGAAAGGCCAGGUGUGCGCCCCUGAUGGCUGAGAACACCAGAGGGCACGACAAGUGCCCCGCCCCAGGCCCUCAGUCAAGGGGAGCUUAGGAUGCCAACCCAGGUGGUCCCGCCCCAGGACAGCCCCUGUCAUUCACCCUGUAGUGUCAGUGAAGAAAGUCAGGUCAAAC